This is a long non-coding RNA of Centruroides sculpturatus (bark scorpion), 232 nucleotides long. RefSeq lists it as uncharacterized. The record is from RefSeq and is a predicted model, not a curated record. NCBI's taxonomy places the organism in Eukaryota, Metazoa, Arthropoda, Arachnida, Scorpiones, Buthidae. The transcript has 2 exons.
GCUAUAUAUUCCAAAAUUCGAAUUUUAAAUUUGUUCGAAAUAUAGAACAUCGUAGAAAUUGAACGAAUUUCCAAAAACGAUCGCCAGAAUCGAAAUAACUUUUUUUCACAAAAAGAUGGAAUUCUUACAAAAUAUGGAUAGACAAAGAAGUGAAAAUCGACUUAAUAGAGAAAGAGUAGAUUCACAAAGAGAAAGAAUAAACGCAUGAAGAGAAAGAGCCAACGCACAAGAA